GAUGAAGAACGCAGCGAAAUGCGAUAAGUAAUGUGAAUUGCAGAAUCCAGUGAAUCAUCGAAUCUUUGAACGCACAUUGCGCCCGCCAGCAUUCUGGCGGGCAUGCCUGUUCGAGCGUCAUUUCAACCCUCAAGCACAGCUUGGUGUUGGGACUCGCGUUAAUUCGCGUUCCCCAAAUUGAUUGGCGGUCACGUCGAGCUUCCAUAGCGUAGUAGUAAAACCCUCGUUACUGGUAAUCGUCGCGGCCACGCCGUUAAACCCCAACUUCUGAAUGUUGACCUCGGAUCAGGUAGGAAUACCCGCUGAACUUAAGCAUAUCAAUAAGCGGAGGA
This 332-nucleotide unclassified non-coding RNA is filed under the name soil metagenome. Its description in RNAcentral is "partial contains 5.8S ribosomal RNA, internal transcribed spacer 2, and large subunit ribosomal RNA". The stretch from base 1 to 120 matches the Rfam family "5.8S ribosomal RNA", at positions 35 to 154 of the family's 154-position model. The record is from RNAcentral.